This 67-nucleotide transfer RNA is filed under the name Mancinella alouina. Its description in RNAcentral is "tRNA-Gln". The record is from RNAcentral. Lineage: Eukaryota; Metazoa; Mollusca; Gastropoda; Neogastropoda; Muricidae.
UUACAGAGCGGUGUUAGGGCACAAAGAAUUUUGAUUUCUUAGGAGAGGGUCAUAGCCUCCUGGUAAG